Molecule: ribosomal RNA, 301 nt
Filed under: uncultured bacterium
Lineage: Bacteria
Description: partial 16S ribosomal RNA
Rfam family: Bacterial small subunit ribosomal RNA
Source: RNAcentral
CAGUAGCCGCGGGAAAACGUAGGGUGCAAGCGUUAAUCGGAAUUACUGGGCGUAAAGCGUGCGCAGGCGGUUUUGUAAGACAGAGGUGAAAUCCCCGGGCUCAACCUGGGAACUGCCUUUGUGACUGCAAGGCUGGAGUGCGGCAGAGGGGGAUGGAAUUCCGCGUGUAGCAGUGAAAUGCGUAGAUAUGCGGAGGAACACCGAUGGCGAAGGCAAUCCCCUGGGCCUGCACUGACGCUCAUGCACGAAAGCGUGGGGAGCAAACAGGAUUAGAGACCCGAGUAGUCCCUGUCUCUUAUAC